Molecule: ribosomal RNA, 253 nt
Filed under: uncultured bacterium
Lineage: Bacteria
Description: partial 16S ribosomal RNA
Rfam family: Bacterial small subunit ribosomal RNA
Source: RNAcentral
UACGUAGGGACCGAGCGUUGUCCGGAUUCAUUGGGCGUAAAGAGCUCGUAGGCGGCCACUCAAGUCGGAUGUGAAACCUCGAGGCUUAACCUCGAGCCUGCAUUCGAUACGGGCAGGCUAGAGUUCGGUAGGGGAGAUCGGAAUUCCUGGUGUAGCGGUGAAAUGCGCAGAUAUCAGGAGGAACACCGGUGGCGAAGGCGGAUCUCUGGGCCGAUACUGACGCUGAGGAGCGAAAGCGUGGGGAGCGAACAGG